UUGGGAGGGGGAGAGUAAGCUGACUACGCUGGCUACUCAGGAGAGGGAUGGAGUGAGGUGGCCAGAGUCAGUCUGCUACAGCAGCACUACAUCCUCCAUCAUUGUGGGACAGUACCAGGACGACAACAUCCUGGUGUUCAGAGUGGAAUAGUGUGUACAUUCGCUGCCGAGUCAGGACAAGGAUGCUGAGGAUGUGGUGGACAAGGAUGACCUGAAUACACAGAAGCAAUUGCUGAGCACAGAAGAAGACUGUUUAAUGAAAGGCUCAGCUGUAUCAAAGUCCAGCAAUGUGCGGGGACGCGGCCUAUCCACAUCUGUAUAUUACAUCAUUUUAGCUGUCACUAACAAGGGAGAUAACUGUAGAUCUGCACCAGCACAACUGCUAUGCACAGAAGACAAAGGAGUAGUGAAAGACUCAGCCAAAUCAAAGUCCAGCGUUGUGAGGGUGACGCAGCCUUUCCAUGUCCUCGUAUUGCAACAUGAGGGACAUUUUAGCUGAAACUAACAAGGGAGAGAACUUUAGAUCUGCACCAGCAAUUAGCCUGUGCAGUCCACACAGGCUAUUCAUGGACAACACUUUCCUCUUAAAGCAGAGCACCAGCAUUGAUAUCAAGUUGGCCCAGCAACCGCACGUGUCCCACCUGCAGGAGCCCCAGUCCAGAACGACCCUUCCCCUCACCUGACUUCUAACUCUUCCCCCUUGACCUCCUGAAAAAGUCAGCAUCGUUGAACAACUCCGUUCUGCAGGAAAUUCUGAGCAUAAUUCUGUUCUGAACAAACGCAAUGCCCAAGUCAAGUUGUCCACAUAUAAGCCUGGGUAGUUUUGUUAAGCUAGAGUUCCGCGUGGGCCUGAGAGGGAUGAGUUUUACAGACACGAAAAGUUAUAGCAGUAGUUAUGGUAACGCUAACAGUCAGUUGUUGCUGUUGGACAUCACAACAAAUUUCAUGAAGAAUAAAAAGUUUAAUAACUUGUUCCAAUCUUUAUGGGACAAACAGAAAUUGAACGGGAGAAAAUUAAGGAACAAUAAAAGCGUAAGCUUUCCUAGAAUGAUACUUCUGCUGUUAAUAGUUUGGAUUACAGUAGGGUUAUGGACUGCCCCAGAUUGUCCUCUCAGCGGCCAAAAUAUCAUAAUAGAAUGGACUUUUGGAAAUGUUACUGACAAAGAAAGGCAGUAAUGACUUGGUUGUGAAUACCCAGAGCACUAUACAUCCAUGCUGACACAGAAAGGCAGUAAUGACUUGGUUGUGAAAACCCAGAGCACGCUACAUCCAUGCUGACAAAGAAAGGCAGUAAUGACUUGGUUGUGAACACCUCGAGCACGAUACAUCCAUGCUGACAAAGAAAGGCAGUAAUGACUUGGUUGUGAACACCUAGAGCACGAUACAUCCAUGCUGACACAGAAAGGCAGUAAUGACUUGGUUGUGAACACCCAGAGCACGAUACAUCCAUGCUGACAAAGAAAGACGGUAAUGACUUGGUUGUGAACACCCAGAGCACGAUACAUCCAUGCUGACACAGAAAGGAAGUAAUGACUUGGUUGUGAACACCCAGAGCACUAUACAUCCAUGCUGACACAGAAAGGAAGUAAUGACUUGGUUGUGAACACCCAGAGUACGCUACAUCCAUGCUGACAAAGAAAGGCAGUAAUGACUUGGUUGUGAAUACCCAGAGCACGAUACAUCCAUGCUGACAUAGAAAGGCAGUAAUGACUUUGUUGAUAACACCCAGAGCACGAUACAUCCAUGCUGACAUAGAAAGGCAGUAAUGACUUUGUUGAUAACACCCAGAGCACGAUACAUCCAUGCUGACAUAGAAAGGCAGUAAUGACUUUGUUGAUAACACCCAGAGCACAAUACAUCCAUGCUGACAUAGAAAGGCAGUAAUGACUUUGUUGAUAACACCCAGAGCACGAUACAUCCAUGCUGACAUAGAAAGGCAGUAAUGACUUGGUUGUAAACACCCAGAGCACGAUACAUCCAUGCUGACAUAGAAAAGCAGUAAUGACUUGGUUGUGAACACCCAGAGCACAAUACAUCCAUGCUGACAUAGAAAAGCAGUAAUGACUUGGUUGUGAACACCCAGAGCACAAUACAUCCAUUGGGUGUGCAUCAGACGCGAAUUCUGCCUAUUAUUGUAAACAAGUUGUUAAAAGUGAACAUGUCUGGUUUUGUUAUGAGCACUUCCCACUCACAGCCCAAAGGUCCUCUCAUUGAAUCGAUGCAAAAGAAGACUUUGAAAAAUGACAGCAGUUGUGUUGUGUGGUCCAGUAAUCCUUUCAACUCUCAACCUGAAGUUUAUCAAAACUCAAACUCAGCCCUUUGCAAUAUUACACUUGCAACACAGUGUACUUUACAAUGAAUGUUUCGCAGUUUUAAACACCAAAAUUUCAAUUUAAAGUUUGUGCACGUAACAUAUUGAUACAUUGCUAUUCUGAGUUCUAAUUGCGAUAUCCUCAAUAUCAAUAAUAUAUGAAAUGUUUGGCAUUCAAAAAAGAGGUGUGUAAAGUAAUUUGUUACAGUGCAUAUUCAUUUGUCACUAAAAAGAUCAGAGUUUAGUUUGCUUGUCAUUUCCUUUUAAGCAAACAUUAUUAGACAACAAAACAAACGUUUUUUAAGUGAAAGUGCAAGACAAUUCCGACCCAGUUUGGGCACAAAUACAACAACUAAUUAAAGAAAUUCAGUUUGUCUUGCGUCAGCCUACAUGUAGGAAGCCUCUUAUAAACAUCUCCCAAGAAGGCUACAUCAACGCUUCCAACAACCGAGCUGGGCAUCGACACAUUGUUCCGAACGAGUCGCUCGAACUGAAACGAUCUGAUUCAACAGAGAGCAGGCGUUGCGUGACUCGUUUGUUAAUGUGACUGACCUCGAUAUGUUGCUUUCCAAAAAUGUGAGCCUUACUACAGAUGAGCUGUCUGCGAUUGACGCAAUUCAACAACAGUUCCGGGUUUGGGAUGGCGAAUUGGCGUCAGGGCUUCAUCUCUGUCGUUGGCCUGGUCGCAGCAGAAGCAGCAACAAGAACAGCAAUAAGUUUAAGAGACGUGAUCUGGGAUAUGGGGCUUCAUGAAUGUGCUUUAAGUGUCAUCCCAUAUUAGCCUGUGCAGAAUGCACAUACAUUGAGUCCUAUAUAAGUGUCAUCUCCGAUUAGCCUGUGCAGACUGCACAUACAUUCAGUCCUAUUAAAGUGUCAUCCCAUAUUAGCCUGUGCAGACUUCACAUACAUUAAGUCCUAUUAAAGUGUCAUCCCAGAUUAGCCUGUGCAGACUGCACAUACAUUGAUUCCCAUUAAAGUGUCAUCCCAAAUUAGCCUGUGCAGACUGCACAUACAUUAAGUCCUAUUAAAGUGUCAUCCCAGAUUAGCCUGUGCAGACUGCACAUACAUUAAGCCCUAUUUUCCCAGAAUGAGGCUCAUAUAGCUCACUUAACAUCAGUAUUUUUUCUGCCUGAUUGAGAAAAAGGUCCAAGCAUCAAAUGGUAAGUAUGUUUUUUUUUAAAUUAAUCCACUUGGUACAUAAAUAGCAAAUAGCAAUUGAUCUAAUAUCAGGUUUAAUCAUAGAAGGUCAAUGCAUAGUUUUGUCUACAUUUCGGCCGAAAUUCAGCCCUUGAACGAAGCGUUUAUCCUUGCAUAUAAAAUCCGCUGUAAUAGACUUGUUAAAUUGUAUUUAUUUUCGCAAAACAAUUAUUUAAACGACUUCAGCACAUUAUACAAUUAUUCCCUCCAAUAUUUAUUUAAGUUCCUGAAUUUUGUUUUAAGAGCUGGUCCCUACAGGAUCCCAUGCAGUCAUAGAUCGGUACCCAGCUGAACAACAGGCUGUCUGGUAAGCUGGGCCCGGAUAGGUGCAGCCAGUCUAAAGCUGGGGCUCCAAACUUUCCUGCCAAGUGGGCUGAUAUUACCUCUUCUACAAGGGACAUAUGUCAGUGAUGCGCAAAGAGCUGGUUCUCUGUUCACAGAGAAAAAUCCUAACAACUCCAACUCAGCCACUACAUCCCAAUAGACAACCCGAAUAUCAAGGCGUUAAGUUUGUUCUGGAUGCAGUUACAAUCACAGCUUUCAAGCCAGCAGCUGUCGAUGUAUUGAGAGUCUCACCUCUCCAUGUUAUCUGACCUGCUGCCUGUGAACAUCCUGCACAUAGAACCUAUAUCCCAUUCGAUGUAAUUAAACCGGCCAAUCAAAAAGACAGCCUGAAAUAUUCCUCAUCUUGAAAUAUUGGGAAGGCAAGAAAACGCCUGUCACUGUUAAGAUAAAAUUGAGGGAAUGACAAAGCACAGUAAGACCAGUUAAGUCCUGUGAUAAGCCAAGUCCUGUGGCCAGACAUGUCAUGUGGCCAGCCCAGUCCUGUGAUCAGACAAGUCUUGUGAUCAGACAAGUCAUGUGAUCAGACAAGUCCUGUGAUAAGCCAAGUCCUGUGAUCAGACAAGUCUUGUGAUCAGCCAAGUCCUGUGAUCAGACAAGUCAUGUGAUAAGCCAAGUCCUGUGAUCAGACACGUCUUGUGGCCAGCCCAGUCCUGUGAUCAGACACGUCUUGUGAUCAGCCCACUCCUGUGAUCAGCCCAGUCCUGUGAUCAGACAAGUCCUGUGAUCAGACACGUCUUGUGAUCAGCCAAGUCUUAGGAUCAGCUUAGUUCUGUGGCCAGCCAAGUCAUGUGACCAGCCAAGUGUUUUUACCAGCCAUGUCCUAUAACCAGCAACUUUGUCUCGUGUGUACAGUCCAAUUGUAUGGGAAGAAAAAUCUUUAUUUCAUAUUGUAUGGUUAUAAUGAUACUGACAGUAUCUUGAUGAUUAAGUAUUUUGUUAUAUAUUGGUAAAUAGACCAAUAUGAUAAGGGGAAACUUAGUAAUAGCAGUAAUGUAAAGUAUUAUUUCAAGAGGAAAAUAAUGCAAGUACUACUAUUUUGUCUGUAUUCAGAAACUGACUAUAUAGCUUUAUCCUGAUUAUCGUAAACUGACAGACAAAAUGAUUGUACAAUUAUUUUUUAAACAUUGAUUUUAAGACUUCACAAAGUUGUUUAAAUAAUGCUGAUACCUUCGACAAUAUUUAAUGUAUUUAUUGUAUAAACAAGACAUGCUUAUUUUAAGUUUUUACCUAUAAAAUAGCAAUAUGUGCUAGGUAAAAUAAUUGAUCAGAACGGUUCAUAAUUGUGAUGCUUCUAUUUUGAUAUGUCUGUCAUUCUGUCUGUGUUCAUUUAUCAUCAGUUUGCUUUUUUGAUGCAGUAUUUUAUCAAGAAUUUCAUGUUGUGAUGUAAUAGUAAAAUAUCAAAUAGUUAUUUCAUUUAUUCAAACUAAAUUAACCUUCGAUUAAUUAUUAAUUUAUUUAUUGACAACAGAUACUUUGUUUAAUAUUAACAAUAGUUAAGCGCGUUAUAAAAAUUGUGUGAAUGUACAUGCAUAUUGCGAUAAUUAAUGCACACAUUAAUGGAAAACCUAUUUAAAGAAAGUGGAAUUUAGAAGUGCAUCUUAAUUGUAAUAGAGUUUGUUUAAUUAUUAAAAAAAGGAUGCUUUCUUUGUUGAAAAGCAAUUCCUCCACAAGUAAGUUUGUUUCAAAGUGAGUAUUUUUAUGAAUAAUGAUCCUAGAUAUGGUUGUAGAUUGUUCUUGUUGUAUCAUAUUCUGACAGGCUCAUCAUUUAUGUUGACAUUUGCAUUCUAGCAUUAAAAGUUCAUUAUGCUUUAAAUAUUUGUAUGUACACAUUUGCGACCAGCUUUUCUAAUGUAAUAAGUGAAUAACGUAACACAGAUUUAUGUGUCACUGUAUAUAAGUUUAUUUUGUCAUUUGUAAAUAGAUCAACUGCAAAGAUAAUGUUUUUGUCUGUACAUUAUUCAUGAAAUGUUGCCAUUUCAAACAGAUACAUUCACUGUUUGAAUUCAUUUGUACAAAAUUGUUUCAUAUUAAACAUCAUUAACAUAUCAGGCAAUAGAACAAAAGAAUUGCUUCGGAUAAUUGUGCAAAUUAACUUGUAUAGUUAAUUCAGACAUGCAGAAUAUCAGAUCAUUAACAUACUUUAAGCAUUAAAAACACCUUGUUUUAUGUCAAGCUUUUCAGUUAUUAUAAUAAGCAACUAUUAUCUGGAAAUUUGGAAAACAGUGAAGAACGAUUCAAGGGACAGCAACUGUGAUAUACUAAAUAAAAGUCGUCUCCCUUGUUAGAGUAUAAUUGUACCUCUCAACGUAACAAGAACAUUGAAUCUUUUUUUUUAAUUAUUCCACACUAUAAACUUUAUAUUAUAUUCAUUCAAUAAUCAUUAAAGAAAUAUGGUUUGCAUAAUUAUUUAUUUCUAUGCGUUAUACCAAAUUCACCAGUAUGGCAUCAAUUUAAGUUCAUCAUAUUUUAAUUGCCAAAAUUGGCCAUACAGUGCUAAAAGUUUGGUAUUCUGAAUAUUAUAAGUGCAUGUUCUUAUACAAAAUCACAUUGUAUAUUUUAACACUGAAGCAAUAUGUGUUAAUAUAUUAAUUUUUAUUUAUUGACUUGUUGCUUGUCAAGGUGUCUAAUUUUGAACUAUAGCUGUUAAUUGAUUGUGACUAUUUUCCAGUUUUGAAUGGUUGCUUUUAGGUUCUUGUUUACAAGUUAUGUAAAAGCUGUUUUCAUGUUGACCUCUCCAUAUUAAAUGUCGUUGACGCGCAUUCACUGCCGCCAGGUUCCGUAAAACUCCCAACAAAUCUAUGAUUGGAUUCCAUACACACAUGGUUGUUUAUACUCAGCUUGCUUUGCAUUAAACAUGUCUGCUUUGUUGUUGAACAAUUAUACACAGCUUUUUAUUGGACAAAAUUGUGUAAUAUUUCAAAUUUUUGCUUUCGAUUUUUUAUUUCCAACAAAAAUAUAUUUUGUUUAUUUGUAUGUAUACUUAGCUAUAAUAAAAUUGUUUCUAUAAUAUAUAAACAACCUAUUUAUAAGCAAUAAACUAUAUUGUUAAAAGUAGAUUUAAGGUUCAAAAUCAUGUCUUAAUUUGUUCGAUUAUCCCAAAUUAAAAUUUUGCAAAAGAUAAACUUGU
This is a long non-coding RNA of Dreissena polymorpha, 6980 nucleotides long. RefSeq lists it as uncharacterized. The record is from RefSeq and is a predicted model, not a curated record. NCBI's taxonomy places the organism in Eukaryota, Metazoa, Mollusca, Bivalvia, Myida, Dreissenidae. The transcript has 9 exons.